GUGCUCGCUUCAGCAGCACAUAUACUAAAAUUGGAAUGAUGCAGAGAAGAUUAGCAUGGCCCCUGCGCAAGGACGGCAUGCAAAUUCUUGAAGUGUUCCAUAUUUUU
This 107-nucleotide small nuclear RNA is filed under the name Meriones unguiculatus (Mongolian gerbil). The record is from RNAcentral. Lineage: Eukaryota; Metazoa; Chordata; Mammalia; Rodentia; Muridae.